GAUAGCAUUGUGACUCACCUGACCCACCUUGAAAUUGGCAAAGAUGAAGGAAGCCCUCAAUAAAGGUGCUCAGCUGGUUCUCGGAUUUGUCAGCGCGGGUGUAGCAAAGGGCGUAGAGUUUGACUUUCAUUGCCCCUGUGACAAGUCGUACACCCUUCUGUUUUUCUUUGUAUACUUACUGGGGCCCGCGAUUGCCAUGUUAAUCAUCGGAAUUUUGAUCCUGAGGCAGAGCAAGGACUGGAAUUUUGGCUCACGCUGCUUCGGGUACUUCUUCUCCUGUUUAGUUCCACCUGUUGUUUGGACGGUCAUGUUCUUCAAAGGCAAAUUCAUGGAUUGUUUCAAAGAUCAGCCGAUAGAAGGACUUCCUGAAUGGUUUCUUCAAGCUGUAUGUGAGAUGGAGCUCGACUUCUAUUUAAAAAGGGCGGGAGGUCUUGCCAUCGUCAUCGUGUUCCUUAUUAUAGGGCUGAUUUGUGACUGCUGCAAAAAGAAGUGACCGCAGGGAAGAUCUGUGAAGCAGCAGACCUCUGCAGCUACGAGGGUGAGUGCAGGGCAGAGUCUGCUUUCCUGACUGUGAUACGGGUUGAAAGUUUAGAGUCUCAACGUUCCACAAAAUACCUCCACCUGCUUCAACCAGAUACAAGCUACAUGUUUUUCCAACACUGGCCAUAACUGUGACUUCCCGGGAUGAGCUGUGAACCAGAACCAGAGCAUUACUGUUAACAUCUGUUACUGUAUCUUCUAUUAAUACUUUACAUUCUGAGCUCCCAGUUACAAACAGAUCAUUUCACACUCGUUCUUUUAAAUCAUUUUGCUUCUUCUACAGCCCCAUUUCCAAAAAAGUUGUGACGCUGUGCAAAAUGUAAAUCAAAACAAAAUGUAUUGAUGUGAAAAUCGUUUGAACCCUUUGUUUCAUUGGAAAUACUACAAAGACAACAAAUCAAAUGUUGAAAGCUUUUGAAAUGUUAUUGUUUUUUGAAAAAUAUUUUGAAUAUUUGAAUUUGAUGCCAA
Pygocentrus nattereri (red-bellied piranha) is the source of this 1008-nucleotide RNA transcript. It is a transcript of the gene named calcium homeostasis modulator protein 5-like, with no coding region annotated. The record is from RefSeq and is a predicted model, not a curated record. NCBI's taxonomy places the organism in Eukaryota, Metazoa, Chordata, Actinopteri, Characiformes, Serrasalmidae. The transcript has 4 exons.